This is a non-coding RNA of Phrynosoma platyrhinos (Desert horned lizard), 71 nucleotides long. NCBI's taxonomy places the organism in Eukaryota, Metazoa, Chordata, Lepidosauria, Squamata, Phrynosomatidae. The record is from the annotation of a GenBank genome assembly.
GUGUGCGUGGCAUAGUGGUUUGAGUGUUGGACUGUGACUCUAGAGACCAGGGUUUAAUUCCCACUGUAAUA